RNAcentral lists this ribosomal RNA (264 nucleotides) under Metamycoplasma hominis. Its description in RNAcentral is "Mycoplasma hominis partial 16S ribosomal RNA". It matches the Rfam family "Bacterial small subunit ribosomal RNA", at positions 205 to 477 of the family's 1533-position model. Lineage: Bacteria; Bacillati; Mycoplasmatota; Mycoplasmoidales; Metamycoplasmataceae. The record is from RNAcentral.
AGGCGCCACUAAAAGAUGAGGGUGCGGAACAUUAGUUAGUUGGUGAGGUAAUGGCCCACCAAGACUAUGAUGUUUAGCCGGGUCGAGAGACUGAACGGCCACAUUGGGACUGAGAUACGGCCCAAACUCCUACGGGAGGCAGCAGUAGGGAAUAUUCCACAAUGAGCGAAAGCUUGAUGGAGCGACACAGCGUGCACGAUGAAGGUCUUCGGAUUGUAAAGUGCUGUUAUAAGGGAAGAACAUUUGCAAUAGGAAAUGAUUGCA